AACGAACGCUGGCGGCAUGCCUAACACAUGCAAGUCGAACGAGACCUCCGGGCCUAGUGGCGCACGGGUGCGUAACGCGUGGGAACCUGCCCUUAGGUUCGGAAUCACUCCCCGAAAGGGGUGCUAAUACCGGAUAAUGUCUUCGGACCAAAGCUUUAUCGCCUUUGGAUGGGCCCGCGUUGGAUUAGCUAGUUGGUAGGGUACAAGCCUACCCAGGCGACGAUCCAUAGCUGGUCUGAGAGGAUGAUCAGCCACACUGGGACUGAGACACGGCCCAGACUCCUACGGGAGGCAGCAGUGGGGAAUAUGGGAGAAUGGGCGAUAGCCUGAUCCAGCAAGGCCGCGUGAGUGAUGAAGGCCUUAGGGUUGUAAAGCUCUUUUACCCGGGAUGAUAAUGACAGUACCGGGAGAAUAAGCUCCGGCUAACUCCGUG
RNAcentral lists this ribosomal RNA (433 nucleotides) under uncultured bacterium. RNAcentral's name for it is "partial 16S ribosomal RNA". It matches the Rfam family "Bacterial small subunit ribosomal RNA", at positions 29 to 507 of the family's 1533-position model. The record is from RNAcentral.